Molecule: ribosomal RNA, 580 nt
Filed under: uncultured fungus
Lineage: Eukaryota; Fungi
Description: eukaryotic LSU rRNA
Rfam family: 5.8S ribosomal RNA (bases 219-372)
Source: RNAcentral
AAGUCGUAACAAGGUUUCCGUAGGUGAACCUGCGGAAGGAUCAUUACAAGGUUUUCGUGCCUCGUCCAUGUUAUCAAUCCACCUCUGAGUACCUAUCCUGUUGCUUCCGUGGGGCAUGGCACUUGGUGCCUGGUGGGCUUUUUUGGUAAGUCCCCACGAAUCAAAUUCUUGUUCAAUUAUGCCAUCGGUAGUCUGACCUUGUUUAUAACAAAUGUUAAAACUUUCAGCAACGGAUCUCUUGGUUCUCGCAUCGAUGAAGAACGCAGCGAAAUGCGAUAAGUAGUGUGAAUUGCAGAAUUCAGUGAAUCAUCGAAUCUUUGAACGCACAUUGCGCCUCUUGGUAUUCCGGGAGGCAUGCCUGUUCGAGCGUCAUUAAGAAAGCACUCAAGCUCUUUUGCUUGGUCAUGGAGGCAGAGAGCGGCAACGUUCUCCCCUCCAAAAUACAAAGGCGGAUUGCACCACGUGUCCUGGCGUAGUAAGUUUUAUCAUUUCGCUAGGUGAUGUCGUGUGGCCCUGUCGCAAACCCCCCAUACCUUAACAUGCUGACCUCGGAUCAGGUAGGGAUACCCGCUGAACUUAA